GGAUUAGGCAUGCAAGUCGAACGAGGGAGCGCCCCGAAAGGGGUGCAAACCGAGUGGCGUAAGGGUGAGUAAUGCAUUGAUAACCUACCUUUGAGAUGAGGAUAACAACGUUUCAAGUAAUUGAAAUUACCGAAAGGGUUGCUAAUACUCAAUAAAGCUAUUGUUGCUUUGGUAGUGAUAGUCAAAUAGGUGGAGUCGAAAGGCUUCAUUUGCUCAGAGAGGGGUUAAUGUCCUAUCAGCUAGUUGGUAGGGUAAUGGCCUACCAAGGCAAAGACGGGUAGCCGGCCUGAGAGGGUGGUCGGCCACACUGGGACUGAGACACUGCCCAGACUCCUACGGGAGGCUGCAGUCGAGAAUCUUUCGCAAUGCCCGAAAGGGUGACGAAGCGACGCCGCGUGCGGGAAGAAGGCCUUCGGGUUGUAAACCGCUGUCGGGAGUUAAGAAAUGUAAGGAUGUUAAUAGCAUCUUUGCUUGACUAAGGCUCCGGAGGAAGCCACGGCUAACUCUGUGCCAGCAGCCGCGGUAAUACAGAGGCGGCAAGCGUUGUUCGGAAUUAUUGGGCGUAAAGAGCACGUAGGCGGCUAUGUAAGUCGGUUGUGAAAGCCUUCCGCUCAACGGGAGAACAGCAUCCGAUACUGCAUGGCUUGAGUGCGGGAGGGGAGAGUGGAACUUCUGGUGGAGCGGUGAAAUGCGUAGAUAUCAGAAGGAACGCCGGCGGCGAAAGCGACUCUCUGGUCCGAAACUGACGCUGAGUGUGCGAAAGCUAGGGGGUCAAACGGGAUUAGAUACCCCGGUAGUCCUAGCCGUAAACGAUGGGCACUAAGUAGAGGGGUUUU
This 836-nucleotide ribosomal RNA is filed under the name uncultured Planctomycetota bacterium. RNAcentral describes it as "bacterial SSU rRNA". It matches the Rfam family "Bacterial small subunit ribosomal RNA", at positions 46 to 832 of the family's 1533-position model. The record is from RNAcentral. Lineage: Bacteria; Pseudomonadati; Planctomycetota.